This 367-nucleotide ribosomal RNA is filed under the name uncultured organism. RNAcentral's name for it is "bacterial SSU rRNA". It matches the Rfam family "Bacterial small subunit ribosomal RNA", at positions 526 to 896 of the family's 1533-position model. The record is from RNAcentral.
CGGAGGGUCCAAGCGUUAUCCGGAAUCAGUUGGGUUUAAAGGGUCCGUAGGCGGUUUUGUAAGUCAGUGGUGAAAGCCCAUCGCUCAACGGUGGAACGGCCAUUGAUACUGCAAGACUUGAAUUAUUAGGAAGUAACUAGAAUAUGUAGUGUAGCGGUGAAAUGCUUAGAUAUUACAUGGAAUACCAAUUGCGAAGGCAGGUUACUACUAAUGGAUUGACGCUGAUGGACGAAAGCGUGGGGAGCGAACAGGAUUAGAUACCCUGGUAGUCCACGCCGUAAACGAUGGAUACUAGCUGUUCGGAGCAAUCUGAGUGGCUAAGCGAAAGUGAUAAGUAUCCCACCUGGGGAGUACGUUCGCAAGAAUG